This 2027-nucleotide unclassified non-coding RNA is filed under the name Centruroides sculpturatus (bark scorpion). RNAcentral's name for it is "muscarinic acetylcholine receptor M1-like, transcript variant X3". The record is from RNAcentral. Lineage: Eukaryota; Metazoa; Arthropoda; Arachnida; Scorpiones; Buthidae.
UGUAGCACGUGCUGUCUAUGCUGUUGUGACGCAACUGACACCAGGAUUUUUUUUUUCUUUUUUCUCUGACGCAAAGCGCCCGUCGGGCUGCAAGUCCGUUGUUAGAAAUUCAACUCUUUUUGUCUGUUAGCAAAAUGAUUCGAAUUGUAAACUGAAUCGCCUGUUCCGGUCACGGAAUUUAUCGAAGACGAGUGAUUAACCCGCACAAACUUCUAAUACAAGAUGAAUAAGAACCAAGAAACUUUAAGAAAAUGGCCAGGAAAUAAUUCGUUAUUCAACGUCAGUCAAUUAGCAUAGAGCAGGAAAAUCUACGAACAACAAAAACGGAUUUAAGAGAACAGGGAAAUUAAAGCAGCACACAAGAAGUAUAUUCUAAACUGAUAUCCAAAGAAAAUAUUAAAUAAUUGGUAUAACCAAUUCAUAUUAGAUAGAUAUAAAGUGAAAGAGAAACAAGAAACAAAACAGUUGUCCAAUCUGACGGUUAUAAGAAGUAUUAAAAAGGACCCAUUAGAAGAAGGUGUGGUUUAAAGACUCGAAUGCACAUGUAUUAUUCCGAAUUGGUGAAACAAAGAGAAAAUUGAAGACCGGAUUGUCGGAACAUUUAACAGCUGUAAGAUUAAAAUAUAAUAAUUCUCCUAUCUAUUGUUGUAUUAAUAACUGAAAUUAACAUUAAUAAUGUAAAAAUUGUUUAUAAGGAAAAAUGUAUAAUGAAAAAAGAAAAGUUAAAGAACAUUUUGCCAUAGCUAUGCAAAAUAAUACGGUUAAUUAAAAUACGGACGUGUUGACAGCUGCAUGCUGGGAAACUUUUGUCGGAUGUGUAUAUACACUUGUGUAUAUAUAUAUAUACUUAUAUAGAUGGAAACCCGUGAUGGAAUAUUGUCGGAGUUUGAACAGUAUGCUAAAAACCCUACUGAGGAGGCCUAAAAAACUUUUUGGCGAAAUGCAUUUAGGGAGUCUGAAAGUGUAAUAAAGUGUUUCUCUGCAAUUGGAUUUGCUUUUACCUUUUCUAAAAUUUAAUUCUUAUUUUAUUAUUGAUAUAAUGUUUUAGAAAUUUGGAGUUACCUACCUCCGUAAGUCAGAACAAAAAGAAAAAUUGAUUUUUCGUGUAUUUUUCUACAAUACAAUAAAGUAAGAAUUGGAUAAAUAAUCUGACUCCAUUGUUUUAAAUAAUUAUUUUGAAUAUAUGUUUAUCGAGUUUCGGGUGGGAGGAUGGAGGUAAAGCCAGCCCUAAUAAACAUUAAAAUGCAUUGUGUCAUCGGACUUGUGGCCUAAAAGUUUUUGCCCUCUAUCUUAAUUAGAAGUAGUUGAAAUUUGAGUUGCAAGAAUUGAGAACACGAUAUAAAGCGAAUUAAAUAAAAAAAAUUGCAGCCUCUUUAAAAUGAUGAAGAUAUUCUGAAUUUUAAAAUGAAAAAAUUAUUUUAUAAAAAUAGAUUUUAACACAUUUACAGUAAUGUAUACAGUAUAUAUAGUAAUGCAGUAAUAAUAAUAUAUUCACACAGAUUGAACACACAUUUACAGUAAUGCAACCGCGUAACUUCUUUAUGCCAUUUAUAUGCAUAUCUUUAUUUAGUUUGAAAAUGUUUAUUGAUUUCUUUGUCAAUAGAUUUAUAAUUAUUGAGUUAUCUAAAUACAGUUAAUGGCUUUCGUUUAUCCGUAUCUAUCCAAUCACUUACGUUAGUCAAAAUAGAAAAGAUUAAAAUGCUUAUUUUUUAUCAUCCAUUUACUAUAUCGAAAUAAAAUAUCUUCCAUUUAAUUAAUCUUUAAGGAUAAUCUGGAUAAAAUUUUCAUUUACAAAAUGGAAAAGUGUGUCCGGAAUGAAACUGAAUUUAUAAUUACAGGCUUAAAAGCCAUCGAUGAUUGUUAAAAAUCGAAUUAGCGGGUCUAAUCUGGCAAUUUUUGGAAGGUGAGUAAAAUUCAAAACAGCAACACACGCCAUUUACAAAGUUUAUUUCGGAGAGAAAUGUAACGGGGCAGGAAAUUGGGUGACGUCACAAGCGCUCUUUAUAAUUAUAUCGCCUCUAUAAAUG